AAAGUUUUAUUCGUGCUUAGUUACUUACUUAUUCGGAUGGUUUACAUGUACAUUUUUGUGUGAUAUGGGCUAAAUCUAAAUGGUUGGUAUUAGGUAUUCGCAGUAUUUGGCUUUAUUGAUCAAGGAGAUUUGGAAUUAGUAAUUUUGAGGUGGGACCGGCCAAAGUCGUGCCAGCUGCUGCGGUUAAACGGAGGGUUCAAGUGAGUAUUAUUAGUUGGGAGUUAUUUUGAUAUUUGGAUUUAUUAUAAAAGAUUUUUAGGUAAAAUUUUAAGUUUUGUUGAAUUCCGUUGAAAAUUAAGAGAAGCUUUGAAAUUUUAGGGUUAGACUAGGAUUAGAUACCCUAUUAUUCUGAAAUGUGAAAAUUAAAGGCUUGAGUAGUAGUAGGUAUGUCCUUGAAACUCAAAGAAUUUGGCGGUGUUUUAGUCUUACCAGAGGAAUCUGCCCCGUAAUCGAUAAUUCACGUUUUUAUUUUACUUAAGCUUGUAAUGUCAAUUUGUAUAUCGCCGUCAUAAGAUUAUCUUUAUAGAGUUGAUUUUCUUAGCUUCUAACUAAAUAUUAUGUCAGGUCAAGGUGCAGUUUAUGUUUAAGUGGGAGGUGGAUUACAAUAGAUUUAUUUAUACGAAUAUUUGAUUGAGAUAUUGAAUUGAAGGUGGAUUUGGAAGUAAUAUUUAAUGAGAAUUUGAUUACAGCUCUGUAACAUGCACAUAUCGCCCGUCACUCUCGUUGAUUAAGGUGAGAUAAGUCGUAACAUAGUAGAUGUACUGGAAAGUGUAUCUAGAAAGU
Molecule: non-coding RNA, 783 nt
Filed under: Tarragoilus diuturnus
Lineage: Eukaryota; Metazoa; Arthropoda; Insecta; Orthoptera; Prophalangopsidae
Source: RNAcentral